GAAUGCGUUCCCGGGUCUUGUACACACCGCCCGUCACACCACGGGAGUUGGAGACGCCCGAAGCCGAUUAUCUAACCUUUUGGAAGAAGUCGUCGAAGGGGGAAUCAAUAACUGGGGUGAAGUCGUAACAAGGUAGCCGUAUCGGAAGGUGCGGCUGGAUCACCUCCUUUCUAAGGAGA
Molecule: ribosomal RNA, 179 nt
Filed under: Clostridioides difficile
Lineage: Bacteria; Bacillati; Bacillota; Clostridia; Peptostreptococcales; Peptostreptococcaceae
Description: partial 16S ribosomal RNA
Rfam family: Bacterial small subunit ribosomal RNA
Source: RNAcentral